RNAcentral lists this ribosomal RNA (497 nucleotides) under uncultured bacterium. RNAcentral's name for it is "partial 16S ribosomal RNA". It matches the Rfam family "Bacterial small subunit ribosomal RNA", at positions 28 to 507 of the family's 1533-position model. The record is from RNAcentral.
GAUGAACGCUGGCGGCGUGCCUAAUACAUGCAAGUCGAGCGAACAGACGAGGAGCUUGCUCCUCUGACGUUAGCGGCGGAGGGGUGAGUAACACGUGGAUAACCUACCUAUAAGACUGGGAUACCUUCGGGAAACCGGAGCUAAUACCGGAUAAUAUAUUGAACGGCAUGGUUCAAUAGUGAAAGACGGUUUUGCUGUACCUUAUAGAUGGAUCCGCGCCGCAUUAGCUAGUUGGUAAGGUAACGGCUUACCAAGGCGACGAUGCGUAGCCGACCUGAGAGGGUGAUCGGCCACACUGGAACUGAGACACGGUCCAGACUCCUACGGGAGGCAGCAGUAGGGAAUCUUCCGCAAUGGGCGAAAGCCUGACGGAGCAACGCCGCGUGAGUGAUGAAGGUCUUCGGAUCGUAAAACUCUGUUAUUAGGGAAGAACAAAUGUGUAAGUAACUAUGCACGUCUUGACGGUACCUAAUCAGAAAGCCACGGCUAACUACGUG